RNAcentral lists this ribosomal RNA (462 nucleotides) under uncultured bacterium. RNAcentral describes it as "partial 16S ribosomal RNA". It matches the Rfam family "Bacterial small subunit ribosomal RNA", at positions 28 to 507 of the family's 1533-position model. The record is from RNAcentral.
GACGAACGCUGGCGGCGUGCUUAACACAUGCAAGUCGAACGGAAAGGCCCUUCGGGGUACUCGAGUGGCGAACGGGUGAGUAACACGUGGGUGAUCUGCCCUGCACUUUGGGAUAAGCCUGGGAAACUGGGUCUAAUACCGAAUAGGACCACGCGCUUCAUGGUGUGUGGUGGAAAGCUUUUGCGGUGUGGGAUGGGCCCGCGGCCUAUCAGCUUGUUGGUGGGGUAAUGGCCUACCAAGGCGACGACGGGUAGCCGGCCUGAGAGGGUGACCGGCCACACUGGGACUGAGAUACGGCCCAGACUCCAACGGGAGGCAGCAGUGGGGAAUAUUGCACAAUGGGCGCAAGCCUGAUGCAGCGACGCCGCGGGAGGGAUGACGGCCUUCGGGUUGUAAACCUCUUUCAAUAGGGACGAAGCGCAAGUGACGGUACCUAUAGAAGAAGCACCGGCCAACUACGUG